This 541-nucleotide small RNA is filed under the name Pongo abelii (Sumatran orangutan). RNAcentral describes it as "retained intron". Lineage: Eukaryota; Metazoa; Chordata; Mammalia; Primates; Hominidae. The record is from RNAcentral.
UUUCACUGCCAUUAUCUGGGACAGCAGAACCAGGUUUGGCUCAACAGAUUUCUCUUUCCACCCAUCUAUUGCAGGUGUAGUGGUCUUGCUGCUUAUCCAGGGAGGAUCUGCCUACAAACUGGUUUGCUACUUUACCAACUGGUCCCAGGACCGGCAGGAACCAGGAAAAUUCACCCUUGAGAAUAUUGACCCCUUCCUAUGCUCUCAUCUCAUCUACUCAUUCGCCAGCAUCAAAAACAACAAGGUUAUCAUCAAGGACAAAAGUGAAGUGAUGCUCUACCAGACCAUCAACAGUCUCAAAACCAAGAAUCCCAAACUGAAAAUUCUCUUGUCCAUUGGAGGGUACCUGUUUGGUUCCAAAGGGUAAGACUACAUCUUUAUUUUUUGUUCAUUUUCCCAUGUAAUUUUUGAUCAUCACCAUUUUUCCUCCUCCUAAGAAGAGAUAUUAAACUAGGCUGUAAGAGGUUUUCCCUUGGCCAGGUGGCAAAACUGAUCUGAGUUUUGUCAUAAGCAGAGGAACAGCAUUAGGUUUCCUGGGGUC